UACGUAGGGUGCGAGCGUUAAUCGGAAUUACUGGGCGUAAAGCGUGCGCAGGCGGUUCGCCAAGUCAGGUGUGAAAUCCCCGGGCUUAACCUGGGAAUUGCGCUUGAAACUAGCGGGCUUGAGUGCGGCAGAGGGGGGUGGAAUUCCACGUGUAGCAGUGAAAUGCGUAGAGAUGUGGAGGAACACCGAUGGCGAAGGCAGCCCCCUGGGUCGACACUGACGCUCAUGCACGAAAGCGUGGGGAGCGAACAGG
Molecule: ribosomal RNA, 253 nt
Filed under: uncultured bacterium
Lineage: Bacteria
Description: partial 16S ribosomal RNA
Rfam family: Bacterial small subunit ribosomal RNA
Source: RNAcentral